GCUUUCCUGAGGUGCAGGUUCCUCCUCCCACUCUGCACCUCGGAUCCGACCGGUCCUCCUCCUCCCGGACCGGUCUUCUGUAAGAAGCGCUCGCCGAAUCCUCCUCCCAUCGGCGAGCGCUUUUU
This 125-nucleotide small RNA is filed under the name Polymorphum gilvum SL003B-26A1. Its description in RNAcentral is "Alphaproteobacterial ar14". It matches the Rfam family "Alphaproteobacterial ar14". From Rfam's summary of the family: Smr14C2 was renamed NfeR1 (Nodule Formation Efficiency RNA) highly expressed in salt stress and during the symbiotic interaction on legume roots. The record is from Rfam by way of RNAcentral. Lineage: Bacteria; Pseudomonadati; Pseudomonadota; Alphaproteobacteria; Rhodobacterales; Paracoccaceae.